AUGGUAGAGGUUGAUAAUUUAAAUGUAGAUUUUGGAGGUUAAUUUAGACUAUUUUCAUAAGGUAUGCUGGGUAUUUUUUUAGAAAAAACAUAAUAGAUCCAAUGACUAUGAAUACCGAUUAAUGGAUGUAUGUUUCCAAUAUCAAUCCCGGCAUCGUGGGUCUUCCUGUAUUGCAUCUAUGAGACCUACUAACAUGCUUCAUCCGUCC
This 208-nucleotide long non-coding RNA is filed under the name Setaria viridis. Its description in RNAcentral is "long non-coding RNA (SVIR_LNC002809)". Lineage: Eukaryota; Viridiplantae; Streptophyta; Magnoliopsida; Poales; Poaceae. The record is from RNAcentral.